AGAACCAUGAGAACUAGUGUGAACACAUGGCAAAAUUGUAAUUAUGUGAUAUUUAUUAUAAACACACGACCCAUGUUUCACAAAUCUGUUCACAGUUUUACUUAUUAGGGUUUUAUUCAUGUUUCAUUCAUUGGUUCAGAAUAUUGUAUACAUUUACGACGGCGGCCGACGGCGUUCAAGUAACUCACCGGAGUUCACGGUGGUGGAAUCCGGUCACGGUGUUUCCCGUGACAUUCACAAUGACAACCCUCUGAUUCGUCACUGGCAUCCUCUGAUUCAAACAUUCUACUGGCAUCCUCUGCUUCGUCACUGGCAUCCUCUGAUUCAAACCUUCUACUGGCAUCCUCUGAUGCGUCAUUGGCAUCCUCUGAUUCAUCAUGUGUCGAUUCUCACACAUAUGAUAUUCCUCAUCAUACAUUCUCUGAUAAUCCUCCUCAUACAUCUGAUGCUGACAUUGUUGGCCCAUCUGCUGAUAUCACAGUUGACAGUCACAAUACACCUACAAAUACAGAACAUCAAGAGUUGCGGUUCAUUCGAUUCGUGACUAAAGAAUGGCAGCAAACAAAGGGUCUUGGGUGGCAGACAAUUACAACAAAAAAGGGGAGGUGACUGUGUGGGAUUGGCAAUGGAAGAACAAACCGACAACCGGGGAGGCAUGUGUGGAGUUUAUGCGGCUUUUGGCGCUACUGAGAUACACCAGAAUGAAGACAUGUCAAGAUGGGUGGGGUUGGCACUCGGAAAAAUAAGUCAACUUUCAAUGUUAAAACUGUUAGAGAGGACUUGUGUGUCACAAGCGGGGACCCGUCGAGCGGCUUUGUAAUGACCUUUUGUAAUAACCUGGAAUUGCUUGGCUACACCUAAAGCCAACAUGUUAGCACGGAAAGGCAUCGAAGGCAGGUUACUGACAAAGA
This is a long non-coding RNA of Helianthus annuus (common sunflower), 911 nucleotides long. RefSeq lists it as uncharacterized. The record is from RefSeq and is a predicted model, not a curated record. The transcript is spliced from 2 exons. Lineage: Eukaryota; Viridiplantae; Streptophyta; Magnoliopsida; Asterales; Asteraceae.